AAAUUGAAGAGUUUGAUCAUGGCUCAGAUUGAACGCUGGCGGCAGGCCUAACACAUGCAAGUCGAACGGUAACAGGAAGCAGCUUGCUGCUUUGCUGACGAGUGGCGGACGGGUGAGUAAUGUCUGGGAAACUGCCUGAUGGAGGGGGAUAACUACUGGAAACGGUGGCUAAUACCGCAUAAUGUCGCAAGACCAAAGAGGGGGACCUUCGGGCCUCUUGCCAUCAGAUGUGCCCAGAUGGGAUUAGCUUGUUGGUGAGGUAACGGCUCACCAAGGCGACGAUCCCUAGCUGGUCUGAGAGGAUGACCAGCCACACUGGAACUGAGACACGGUCCAGACUCCUACGGGAGGCAGCAGUGGGGAAUAUUGCACAAUGGGCGCAAGCCUGAUGCAGCCAUGCCGCGUGUAUGAAGAAGGCCUUCGGGUUGUAAAGUACUUUCAGCGGGGAGGAAGGUGUUGUGGUUAAUAACCGCAGCAAUUGACGUUACCCGCAGAAGAAGCACCGGCUAACUCCGUGCCAGCAGCCGCGGUAAUACGGAGGGUGCAAGCGUUAAUCGGAAUUACUGGGCGUAAAGCGCACGCAGGCGGUCUGUCAAGUCGGAUGUGAAAUCCCCGGGCUCAACCUGGGAACUGCAUUCGAAACUGGCAGGCUUGAGUCUUGUAGAGGGGGGUAGAAUUCCAGGUGUAGCGGUGAAAUGCGUAGAGAUCUGGAGGAAUACCGGUGGCGAAGGCGGCCCCCUGGACAAAGACUGACGCUCAGGUGCGAAAGCGUGGGGAGCAAACAGGAUUAGAUACCCUGGUAGUCCACGCCGUAAACGAUGUCUACUUGGAGGUUGUGCCCUUGAGGCGUGGCUUCCGGAGCUAACGCGUUAAGUAGACCGCCUGGGGAGUACGGCCGCAAGGUUAAAACUCAAAUGAAUUGACGGGGGCCCGCACAAGCGGUGGAGCAUGUGGUUUAAUUCGAUGCAACGCGAAGAACCUUACCUGGUCUUGACAUCCACAGAACUUUCCAGAGAUGGAUUGGUGCCUUCGGGAACUGUGAGACAGGUGCUGCAUGGCUGUCGUCAGCUCGUGUUGUGAAAUGUUGGGUUAAGUCCCGCAACGAGCGCAACCCUUAUCCUUUGUUGCCAGCGGUCCGGCCGGGAACUCAAAGGAGACUGCCAGUGAUAAACUGGAGGAAGGUGGGGAUGACGUCAAGUCAUCAUGGCCCUUACGACCAGGGCUACACACGUGCUACAAUGGCGCAUACAAAGAGAAGCGACCUCGCGAGAGCAAGCGGACCUCAUAAAGUGCGUCGUAGUCCGGAUUGGAGUCUGCAACUCGACUCCAUGAAGUCGGAAUCGCUAGUAAUCGUGGAUCAGAAUGCCACGGUGAAUACGUUCCCGGGCCUUGUACACACCGCCCGUCACACCAUGGGAGUGGGUUGCAAAAGAAGUAGGUAGCUUAACCUUCGGGAGGGCGCUUACCACUUUGUGAUUCAUGACUGGGGUGAAGUCGUAACAAGGUAACCGUAGGGGAACCUGCGGUUGGAUCACCUCCUUACCUUAAAGAA
Molecule: ribosomal RNA, 1552 nt
Filed under: Salmonella enterica
Lineage: Bacteria; Pseudomonadati; Pseudomonadota; Gammaproteobacteria; Enterobacterales; Enterobacteriaceae
Also listed under: 1 other name
Description: bacterial SSU rRNA
Rfam family: Bacterial small subunit ribosomal RNA
Source: RNAcentral